Molecule: long non-coding RNA, 354 nt
Filed under: Homo sapiens (human)
Lineage: Eukaryota; Metazoa; Chordata; Mammalia; Primates; Hominidae
Description: non-protein coding LINC01697:33
Source: RNAcentral
UAUCCAUCUCCCAGCCCCCAGAGAAAAGGGCUUUAGUUCCUCCCCCUGCCUGUGAAGUCUGCAGGCCAGAUUCGCGCCCUCCCCUGAGUUCUGGCCAGGAGGCUUCUUGCCCUGUUCAAAUGGUUACAAAGUUCAGCUAGAGAAUUCCUUCUCCCUGUAGAGUUUUACCCCCUGCUCCUCUGGCCGCCCUCCGGAUGGAUCUUUGUGUUGCCAGGCAGGAAUGGGCUGCUUGGGGACCCAGUGAGCUCCGAGGGCCUUUCUGCUGCUUCCUGUACCCCUGUAUUUCGCUCAGCUCUCUGACUUGACUCAGCUCCAGAAUACAAAUAUGCCUUCCCAAUCAUCUCCCAAAGUCUC